This 375-nucleotide ribosomal RNA is filed under the name uncultured organism. Its description in RNAcentral is "partial 16S ribosomal RNA". It matches the Rfam family "Bacterial small subunit ribosomal RNA", at positions 527 to 896 of the family's 1533-position model. The record is from RNAcentral.
GUAGGUGGCAAGCGUUGUCCGGGAAUUAUUGGGGCGUAAAGCGCGCGCAGGCGGUUCUUUAAGUCUGAUGUGAAAGCCCACGGGCUCAACCGUGGAGGGUCAUUGGAAACUGGAGAACUUGAGUACAGAAGAGGAAAGCGGAAUUCCACGUGUAGCGGUGAAAUGCGUAGAGAUGUGGAGGAACACCAGUGGCGAAGGCGGCUUUCUGGUCUGUAACUGACGCUGAGGUGUGAAAGCGUGGGGAGCAAACAGGAUUAGAUACCCUGGUAGUCCACGCCGUAAACGAUGAGUGCUAAGUGUUAGGGGGUUUCCGCCCCUUAGUGCUGCAGCUAACGCAUUAAGCACUCCGCCUGGGGAGUACGGCCGCAAAGGCUG